RNAcentral lists this ribosomal RNA (489 nucleotides) under uncultured bacterium. RNAcentral describes it as "partial 16S ribosomal RNA". It matches the Rfam family "Bacterial small subunit ribosomal RNA", at positions 28 to 507 of the family's 1533-position model. The record is from RNAcentral.
GAUGAACGCUAGCUACAGGCUUAACACAUGCAAGUCGAGGGGCAGCAUGAACUUAGCUUGCUCAGUUUUAUGGCGACCGGCGCACGGGUGAGUAACACGUAUCCAACCUGCCGAUGACUCGGGGAUAGCCUUUCGAAAGAAAGAUUAAUACCCGAUGGCAUAGUUCUUCUGCAUGGUAGAACUAUUAAAGAAUUUCGGUCAUCGAUGGGGAUGCGUUCCAUUAGGUUGUUGGCGGGGUAACGGCCCACCAAGCCUUCGAUGGAUAGGGGUUCUGGGAGGAAGGUACCCGACGUGGGAACAGGGACAAGGACCAAACGCCUACGGGAGGCAGCAGUGAGGAAUAUUGGUCAAUGGACGGGAGUCUGAGCCAGCCAAGUAGCGUGAAGGAUGACUGCCCUAUGGGUUGUAAACUUCUUUUAUACGGGAAUAAAGUGAGGCACGUGUGCCUUUUUGUAUGUACCGGAUGAAUAAGGAUCGGCUAACUCCGUG